Long non-coding RNA from Zingiber officinale, 645 nucleotides. RefSeq lists it as uncharacterized. Lineage: Eukaryota; Viridiplantae; Streptophyta; Magnoliopsida; Zingiberales; Zingiberaceae. The transcript has 4 exons. The record is from RefSeq and is a predicted model, not a curated record.
ACCAAUCGCCGAUCCCAUUCCUCUCCUCACCCGAGCUCCUUCCCUUUUCUCUCUGUUCUCUCGCGGACGAGUCGAAGCCAAGCCGAGGGAUCUUCGUCGAUCGUCGACGCCGCCCGAGGAGGAAGCCACCGUAGCUUGCUGGAACACGACAGGAACCAGCGGAGCCGUGCUGUCUUCGGCUGAGAGGGGGAUCUGUUCGGUGGAUUUGGCGGCCGAGUGUCGACGGCGAGGCGGCUAGGGCACGACAGGUGCCCCGAUCUGUGUUGUCCCUAGCCUAUCGGUCCUUCGAUCCUUCUCCACGAGUUGUUCACAGAGUAGUCCGCGUCUCCCUUCUCGCCGGAUUUGGAUCAAGCGGCGCCAUCGAGGAGUGAUCUUGGAGGGCCGGAGCUACCGGCUGUGCCCUAGCUGUGAUCCUUGAGGCAAGGAUCAAUUCCUUGUUGUCCAUUCUUGCUCUUCUUCCUUACUGCUGGCUAAUCUGUUGAGAGGAUUGAUUCCAGUGAGGUUGAGUGUUUUAUGGAUCUAGAAUUGGGUUCUGUGGCUUCCUGUUCCAGCAGAUCACCUUGUUUUCUAGCAGUUUAAUUGAGGACUCUGAUUCGAGACGGGCGUCUCGACUUUGGAUCGGUUGAUUGUACCUUCUAUUUGAGG